GCCCUCGUAGCUCAGAGGAUAGAGCAGCAGACUUCUAAUCUGUGGGUCGGAGGUUCGACUCCUCUCGAGGGCG
RNAcentral lists this transfer RNA (73 nucleotides) under Candidatus Servula neotermitis. RNAcentral describes it as "tRNA-Arg". It matches the Rfam family "tRNA". From Rfam's summary of the family: Transfer RNA (tRNA) molecules are approximately 80 nucleotides in length. Lineage: Bacteria; Bacillati; Actinomycetota; Actinomycetes; Bifidobacteriales; Bifidobacteriaceae. The record is from RNAcentral.